GCGGGAGUAGCUUAAUGGUAAAGUUCCAGAUUUCCAAUCUGGCCACGAGGGUUCGAUUCCCUUCUCCCGCU
This 71-nucleotide transfer RNA is filed under the name Deltaproteobacteria bacterium RIFCSPHIGHO2_01_FULL_43_49. Its description in RNAcentral is "tRNA-Gly". It matches the Rfam family "tRNA". From Rfam's summary of the family: Transfer RNA (tRNA) molecules are approximately 80 nucleotides in length. Their secondary structure includes four short double-helical elements and three loops (D, anti-codon, and T loops). Further hydrogen bonds mediate the characteristic L-shaped molecular structure. tRNAs have two regions of fundamental functional importance: the anti-codon, which is responsible for specific mRNA codon recognition, and the 3' end, to which the tRNAs corresponding amino acid is attached (by aminoacyl-tRNA synthetases). tRNAs cope with the degeneracy of the genetic code in two manners: having more than one tRNA (with a specific anti-codon) for a particular amino acid; and 'wobble' base-pairing, i.e. permitting non-standard base-pairing at the 3rd anti-codon position. Lineage: Bacteria; Deltaproteobacteria. The record is from RNAcentral. RNAcentral also lists the same sequence under 6 other names.